CCUACGGGAGGCAGCAGUGGGGAAUAUUGGGCAAUGUGCGCAAGCCUGACCCAGCAAUGCCGCGUGAAGGAAGAAGGCUUUCGGGUUGUAAACUUCUUUGACAGGGGAAGAGCAGAAGACGGUACCCUGAAAACAAGCCACGGCUAACUACGUGCCAGCAGCAGCGGUAAUACGUAGGUGGCAAGCGUUGUCCGGAUUUACUGGGUGUAAAGGGCGUGUAGCCGGGAAGGCAAGUCAGAUGUGAAAUCUGGAGGCUCAACCUCCAAAUUGCAUUUGAAACUGUUUUUCUUGAGUACUGGAGAGGCAGACGGAAUUCCUUGUGUAGCGGUGAAAUGCGUAGAUAUAAGGAGGAACACCAGUGGCGAAGGCGGUCUGCUGGACAGCAACUGACGGUGAGGCGCGAAAGCGUGGGGAGCAAACAGGAUUAGAUACCCUAGUAGUC
Molecule: ribosomal RNA, 442 nt
Filed under: uncultured bacterium
Lineage: Bacteria
Description: partial 16S ribosomal RNA
Rfam family: Bacterial small subunit ribosomal RNA
Source: RNAcentral